GUUAAGGUGGCAGAAUCCGGUUAUUGCAAAAGGCCUAAGCCCUUUCUACAGAGGUUCAAGUCCUCUCCCUAACU
Molecule: transfer RNA, 74 nt
Filed under: Stylephorus chordatus (tube-eye)
Lineage: Eukaryota; Metazoa; Chordata; Actinopteri; Stylephoriformes; Stylephoridae
Description: tRNA-Leu (UUR)
Rfam family: tRNA
About the family: Transfer RNA (tRNA) molecules are approximately 80 nucleotides in length.
Source: RNAcentral